UGGCCCUUCGUCCAAUCGGCAGGACGCCGGGUUUUGGUCCCGGAAAUCCGCGUUCGAGUCGCGGGGGGCCAGCCG
This 75-nucleotide transfer RNA is filed under the name Actinomycetota bacterium. RNAcentral's name for it is "Actinobacteria bacterium (soil metagenome) tRNA-Gln". It matches the Rfam family "tRNA". Rfam says of the family: Transfer RNA (tRNA) molecules are approximately 80 nucleotides in length. Their secondary structure includes four short double-helical elements and three loops (D, anti-codon, and T loops). Further hydrogen bonds mediate the characteristic L-shaped molecular structure. tRNAs have two regions of fundamental functional importance: the anti-codon, which is responsible for specific mRNA codon recognition, and the 3' end, to which the tRNAs corresponding amino acid is attached (by aminoacyl-tRNA synthetases). tRNAs cope with the degeneracy of the genetic code in two manners: having more than one tRNA (with a specific anti-codon) for a particular amino acid; and 'wobble' base-pairing, i.e. permitting non-standard base-pairing at the 3rd anti-codon position. The record is from RNAcentral. Lineage: Bacteria; Bacillati; Actinomycetota.